RNAcentral lists this ribosomal RNA (253 nucleotides) under uncultured bacterium. RNAcentral's name for it is "partial 16S ribosomal RNA". It matches the Rfam family "Bacterial small subunit ribosomal RNA", at positions 524 to 776 of the family's 1533-position model. The record is from RNAcentral.
UACGUAGGGUGCAGGCGUUAAUCGGAAUUACUGGGCGUAAAGCGUGCGCAGGCGGUUCGUUGUGUCUGAUGUGAAAUCCCGGGGCUCAACCUCGGAAUGGCAUUCAAUACUGCUUCGCUAGAGUACUGGAGAGGAGGCUGGAAUUUACGGUGUAGCAGUGAAAUGCGUAGAUAUCGUAAGGAAGGCCGGUGGCGAAAGCGAGCCUCUGGACAGUUACUGACGCUGAUGCACGAAGGCCAGGGGAGCAAACGGG